This 252-nucleotide ribosomal RNA is filed under the name uncultured bacterium. RNAcentral describes it as "partial 16S ribosomal RNA". It matches the Rfam family "Bacterial small subunit ribosomal RNA", at positions 524 to 776 of the family's 1533-position model. The record is from RNAcentral.
UACGGGGGGGCAAGCGUUGUUCGGAAUUACUGGGCGUAAAGGGCUCGUAGGUGGCCAACUAAGUCAGACGUGAAAUCCCUCGGCUUAACCGGGGAACUGCGUCUGAUACUGGAUGGCUUGAGUUUGGGAGAGGGACGCGGAAUUCCAGGUGUAGCGGUGAAAUGCGUAGAUAUCGGGAGGAACACCAGUAGCGAAGGCGACACUCUGGGCCGGUACUGACGCUGAGGAGCGAAAGCGUGGGGAGCAAACAGG